CCUACGGGCGGCUGCAGUGGGGAAUAUUGGACAAUGGGGGGAACCCUGAUCCAGCCAUGCCGCGUGUGUGAAGAAGGCCCUCGGGUUGUAAAGCACUUUCAGUGAGGAAGAACGCCUGGUGGUUAAUACCCAUCAGGAAAGACAUCACUCACAGAAGAAGCACCGGCUAACUCCGUGCCAGCAGCCGCGGUAAUACGGAGGGUGCGAGCGUUAAUCGGAAUUACUGGGCGUAAAGCGCGCGUAGGUGGCUUGAUAAGCCGGUUGUGAAAGCCCCGGGCUCAACCUGGGAACGGCAUCCGGAACUGUCAAGCUAGAGCGCAGGAGAGGAAGGUAGAAUUCCCGGUGUAGCGGUGAAAUGCGUAGAGAUCGGGAGGAAUACCAGUGGCGAAGGCGGCCUUCUGGACUGACACUGACACUGGGGUGCGAAAGCGUGGGUAGCAAACAGGAUUAGAUACCCGAGUAGUC
This 465-nucleotide ribosomal RNA is filed under the name Vreelandella stevensii. RNAcentral's name for it is "partial 16S ribosomal RNA". It matches the Rfam family "Bacterial small subunit ribosomal RNA", at positions 338 to 795 of the family's 1533-position model. Lineage: Bacteria; Pseudomonadati; Pseudomonadota; Gammaproteobacteria; Oceanospirillales; Halomonadaceae. The record is from RNAcentral.